UACGUAGGGGCGAGCGUUAUCCGGAAUUAUUGGGCGUAAAGAGUACGUAGGCGGGAGCUUAAGCACAGGGUUUAAGGCAAUGGCUUAACCACUGUAUGCCUUGUGAACUGGGCUUCUUGAGUGCAGGAGGGGAAAGCGGAAUUCCUAGUGUAGCGGUGAAAUGCGUAGAUAUUAGGAGGAACACCAGUGGCGAAGGCGGCUUUCUGGACUGUAACUGACGCUGAGGCGCGAAAGCGUGGGGAGCAAACAGGAUUAGAUACCCUGGUAGUCCCUGA
This 275-nucleotide ribosomal RNA is filed under the name uncultured prokaryote. Its description in RNAcentral is "partial 16S ribosomal RNA". It matches the Rfam family "Bacterial small subunit ribosomal RNA", at positions 524 to 800 of the family's 1533-position model. The record is from RNAcentral.